ACAUAACUGAUGCCUCCGCGUAUCGACUUUGUGCGCAUUUUAGCUAUUAUGUGUUCUUUUUAAUUAAAAUGAUUCUUUUUAAGAUUCAUCUAUUAAAAAUUUGCUUCGGCAUAAUUUUUUUUGAUGAUCUUGUUACUUUGAGUAAAUUAGAGUGUUCAAAGCAAACAGAUAUAGCAUUUGUGCGUUUGAAUACUACAGCAUGGAAUAACAAAAUUGAACAAGUCAGAAUUUUUUUGUUCUUUUUUCUUAUUUUGGCUUAGUUACGAUUAAUAGGAGUAGCUUGGGGGCAUUUGUAUUCAGAUGUCAGAGGUGAAAUUCUUAGAUUUUCUGGAGACAAACAACUGCGAAAGCAUUUGCCUAAAAUACUUCCAUUAAUCAAGAACGAAAGUUAAGGGAGUGAAGACGAUCAGAUACCGUCGUAAUCUUAACCAUAAACUAUGCCGACUAGGCUUUGGAUGAAAGAUUUUAAAAUAAGAGUUUUUCUUUUCUCUCCGGAGAUUAGAACUCUUAGAUUGCUUCCUUCAGUGCCUUAUGAGAAAUCAAAGUCUUUGGGUUCUGGGGCGAGUAUUCGCGCAAGCGAGAAAGUUAAAAGAAUUGACGGAAGGGCACCACCAGGCGUGGAGCUUGCGGCUUAAUUUGACUCAACACGGGAAAACUCACUAGUUUAAGACAAGAGUAGGAUUGACAGAUUAAUAGCUCUUUCUUGAUUUCUUGGAUGGUGAUGCAUGGCCGUUUUUAGUUCGUGAAUAUGAUUUGUCUGGUUAAUUCCGAUAACGAACGAGAUCUUAACCUGCUAAUUAGCGGCAAAUACGAUAUAUUCUUAUGUAGAAUUGAAUAUAGUGGAUUUGUUGGAUUUUGAAGAAAAUAUUGGAAUUACGUUUAAAUGUGAUUCCUUUCCCUUUCCUACUUAAUUUACAUUUCCAUCUAUUUCUUUUUUGCGUAUGAAUGUAUUUGCUUGAUUGUAAGGCUUCUUAGAGGAACGAUGUGUG
Molecule: ribosomal RNA, 989 nt
Filed under: Plasmodium knowlesi
Lineage: Eukaryota; Apicomplexa; Aconoidasida; Haemosporida; Plasmodiidae
Description: SSU rRNA
Rfam family: Eukaryotic small subunit ribosomal RNA
Source: RNAcentral